CCAGACUCCUACGGGAGGCAGCAGUGAGGAAUAUUGGUCAAUGGCCGGAAGGCUGAACCAGCCAAGUCGCGUGAGGGAAUAAGGCCCUAUGGGUCGUAAACCUCUUUUGUCAGGGAGCAAAGGCGUCCACGUGUGGACGAGAGGAGAGUACCUGAAGAAAAAGCAUCGGCUAACUCCGUGCUGGCAGCCGCGGUAAUACGGAGGAUGCGAGCGUUAUCCGGAUUUAUUGGGUUUAAAGGGUGCGUAGGCGGACUGGAAAGUCAGCGGUAAAAUCGGGAGGCUCAACCUCUUUCCGCCGUUGAAACUGUCGGUCUUGAGUGGGCGAGAAGUAUGCGGAAUGCGUGGUGUAGCGGUGAAAUGCAUAGAUAUCACGCAGAACUCCGAUUGCGAAGGCAGCAUACCGGCGCCCGACUGACGCUGAGGCACGAAAGCGUGGGUAUCGAACAGGAUUAGAUACCCGAGUAGU
Molecule: ribosomal RNA, 466 nt
Filed under: uncultured bacterium
Lineage: Bacteria
Description: bacterial SSU rRNA
Rfam family: Bacterial small subunit ribosomal RNA
Source: RNAcentral